UUCUGAUCCAUGACAGAAGAGACAUCUUUGGUAAUGAGAUCCGAGAUGGGCUGGUGAAGCUGACUCAGAAGAUCCUGGGACCCUGUACCAUUGUCCAGGGAGCACUGAAAAGCAUCAUGAGAACGCCUCAAGAAUUCUACCACAAUAUCCUAAGCUUUCUCAAGUCAAAUCUGCCCUGUGUUGUG
Molecule: non-coding RNA, 185 nt
Organism: Phascolarctos cinereus (koala)
Lineage: Eukaryota; Metazoa; Chordata; Mammalia; Diprotodontia; Phascolarctidae
Source: RefSeq, a predicted model, not a curated record